UGCCAGCGAGCUAUAGUGCUGCAUUGAAGAAUAAGUUGUGAAAGAAGAAGAUGAUGAUGAUAGAGGGGAAGAACUAAGAAGAUUGAUUGAGCAACUUUAAGGAGUUACGUAAGGGUAACUCUUAAUUAAGUACUACUAAUAACAAAAAUAAAUGCAAAAUGAGAAGAUUAAACAUGGUUUGGUUGAGAUUCUGCAAAGUUUG
RNAcentral lists this unclassified non-coding RNA (202 nucleotides) under Hevea brasiliensis (rubber tree). The record is from RNAcentral. Lineage: Eukaryota; Viridiplantae; Streptophyta; Magnoliopsida; Malpighiales; Euphorbiaceae.